RNAcentral lists this ribosomal RNA (253 nucleotides) under uncultured bacterium. RNAcentral's name for it is "partial 16S ribosomal RNA". It matches the Rfam family "Bacterial small subunit ribosomal RNA", at positions 524 to 776 of the family's 1533-position model. The record is from RNAcentral.
UACGUAGGGACCAAGCGUUGUUCGGAUUUACUGGGCGUAAAGGGCGCGUAGGCGGCUUGACAAGUCACUUGUGAAAUCUCCGGGCUUAACUCGGAACGGCCAAGUGAAACUGUCAUGCUAGAGUGCAGAAGGGGCAAUCGGAAUUCUUGGUGUAGCGGUGAAAUGCGUAGAUAUCAAGAGGAACACCUGAGGUGAAGACGGGUUGCCGGGCUAACACUGACGCUGAGGCGCGAAAGCCAGGGGAGCAAACGGG